This is a long non-coding RNA of Eriocheir sinensis (Chinese mitten crab), 497 nucleotides long. RefSeq lists it as uncharacterized. The record is from RefSeq and is a predicted model, not a curated record. The transcript has 2 exons. Lineage: Eukaryota; Metazoa; Arthropoda; Malacostraca; Decapoda; Varunidae.
AGAAGAAAACCACGAAAAUGACAGUGAAAUGAAGGGUGCGAUUCUAUCCAAACUAAAUACAUACUGCCUUGAACUGCCUUAAUUAGUGUGAAGUAAUUAGUGUAUUAGAAGCAUGCAGGUAAAGGAGUGCUGUCUCUGUAUACUAACCAAGCCAGUGUGAGUUUAGUCCUUAGAGAAUUCAGCCGUCCCUCAAAUAGUACGGUUUCCAGUAGUUUGGUUUCGGUUUUAUGUGGAUUUUCAUAGAAGGAUUAUAGGAUUUUUGAGUUUCCCGAUGAGGAGGAAAUUUAAAAAUCCUUAAAGAUCUUCCGUAACAAUCCGUAUAAAAACGAAACCGUACUAUUUGAGGGACGAGUGUUUAUAUAAGAAGUGUAUGGUAUGGAGGUCAGGGUAUGGUGCUUCUAUAUAUGAUUAAGCUGGUGAGAAUUUAGUCCUUUGUGAAUAUAUGUAAAGUGUAAAGGUGUGUGUGUGUGUUAGGGUAUUAAAAUGUUGCUUAUUUA